UACGUAGGGGGCUAGCGUUGUCCGGAAUCAUUGGGCGUAAAGCGCGUGUAGGCGGCCCGGUAAGUCCGCUGUGAAAGUCGGGGGCUCAACCCUCGGAUGCCGGUGGAUACUGUCGGGCUGGAGUGCGGAAGAGGCUAGUGGAAUUCCUGGUGUAGCGGUGAAAUGCGCAGAUAUCAGGAGGAACACCAAUUGCGAAGGCAGCUCGCUGGGACGUUACUGACGCUUAGACGCGAAAGCGUGGGGAGCAAACAGG
RNAcentral lists this ribosomal RNA (253 nucleotides) under uncultured bacterium. RNAcentral describes it as "partial 16S ribosomal RNA". It matches the Rfam family "Bacterial small subunit ribosomal RNA", at positions 524 to 776 of the family's 1533-position model. The record is from RNAcentral.